GCGGACCCCGACCUAGACUCAGACAAGGU
Molecule: non-coding RNA, 29 nt
Filed under: Cricetulus griseus (Chinese hamster)
Lineage: Eukaryota; Metazoa; Chordata; Mammalia; Rodentia; Cricetidae
Source: RNAcentral